CCUACGGGAGGCAGCAGUGGGGAAUUUUGGACAAUGGGCGCAAGCCUGAUCCAGCCAUGCCGCGUGCAGGAUGAAGGCCUUCGGGUUGUAAACUGCUUUUGUACGGAACGAAAAGGUUUGGCCUAAUAAGCUGAGCUCAUGACGGUACCGUAAGAAUAAGCACCGGCUAACUACGUGCCAGCAGCCGCGGUAAUACGUAGGGUGCGAGCGUUAAUCGGAAUUACUGGGCGUAAAGCGUGCGCAGGCGGUUAUGUAAGACAGAUGUGAAAUCCCCGGGCUCAACCUGGGAACUGCAUUAGUGACUGCAUAGCUGGAGUACGGCAGAGGGGGAUGGAAUUCCGCGUGUAGCAGUGAAAUGCGUAGAUAUGCGGAGGAACACCGAUGGCGAAGGCAAUCCCCUGGGCCUGUACUGACGCUCAUGCACGAAAGCGUGGGGAGCAAACAGGAUUAGAUACCCUGGUAGUCCACGCCCUAAACGAUGUCAACUGGUUGUUGGGUCUUCACUGACUCAGUAACGAAGCUAACGCGUGAAGUUGACCGCCUGGGGAGUCGGCCGCAAGGUUGAAACUCAAAUGAAUUGACGGCGNGAGAGNGCGAGGACGACGACGAGGGAGGAGG
RNAcentral lists this ribosomal RNA (618 nucleotides) under uncultured bacterium. RNAcentral describes it as "bacterial SSU rRNA". It matches the Rfam family "Bacterial small subunit ribosomal RNA", at positions 338 to 951 of the family's 1533-position model. The record is from RNAcentral.